UAAAAUAAACGAGGGAGUCCUCAUUUUGAAUUUGAACUCUCUUUUUCAAAUAAGUGUGCUGCAUCUUUUUUAAAACUAAGGUAUGUAUGUAAAUUUUGUCAAUCUUGGUGUGCUAGCAUUUUCCUAUAAAUAGGUUGAUUAGUUAAACAAUGAAACUCACACCAGAAUCAUAAAAUUCUAUCUCUAUAAUAUUGAGCGUAUUUCUCAUGAGUAUAAGGAUAUUUUGAGUGUUGAUAACAGUGCAAGAUUUCCUCAACAUAAUCGCCAAUCUUCCAGUCAAAACUACUUUCCUAUUAAGGGAAAAGAUUUUAUUUUUUUUCUUAUUUUCUUUCAAUACUCAUAAAUGAUAUUAUUUCCUUCCAUACUCGUAAGGAAUAUCAUUU
Molecule: long non-coding RNA, 383 nt
Filed under: Panax ginseng (ginseng)
Lineage: Eukaryota; Viridiplantae; Streptophyta; Magnoliopsida; Apiales; Araliaceae
Description: long non-coding RNA (PGIN_LNC018084)
Source: RNAcentral